CGCACUUCUGCUCCUGAAGGGAAAGAGAUGCACAAGCAUGGGCAGGACCACAGACUUUUGCCAAUAUUGAGUAUCGUAUGAUAAUUGAUGAAGGUUUGGAGGAACCACCUUCAUGUCCAGACCUUGUGAGGAAGACUCACACACAUGCAGAUGGUUCCUUCAUAGACAAAUGAGCAGAGGCUCUGGUUAUGGAGACUGAGCAAGUGGUUGAAGAGAUGAUGACACAAGAUGGAUCUCCAGUUGGUGAAAGCCAAAUGUGCUCAACUUCUGGCACUACAACUUCAAAGUGCCUUCUCCUAAACUAAGAAUACAUCAAGCAUGGACAGACACACAAGGGAGAAACAUUUUAUGGACUUGGAAGUGUCCAGUUCAGGACCACCACUACUUCUCAGUUUGUGCCUGCCUUACUCAAGCGAAGCCUGGACAUGGAGAUGCGCAUGUGUGGCAUAGAGACUACCACCGAUGAAGUCAAGGCUGAUCUCAUGCUUUCAAGAGUGACUUCAACGAAGAGAUGGCUGCAAAAAGAUCAACUCUCAACAUGAUUCUCCAAGUUCUCCAGCUUCAAGCUUCUGUUCCUCCUGCCUCAACUACACAAGCAACUCAGCCUCAUCCUGACCGUCAAGCUCAAGCUCCAUACCCAGCUCAUGAUAAGUCUCAAACUCAAGGUCAAUCACAACGUCAACAUCUCAUAACCAACAACCAAGCUGACCUAGAUAAGUGGUGCAGUGCAGAAUUUGGUUUGUAGAAUUUAUAUGUGGUUGUUGUUACUUGCCCAGAAACAAGUUUAUGUAA
Molecule: long non-coding RNA, 792 nt
Organism: Brassica oleracea var. oleracea
Lineage: Eukaryota; Viridiplantae; Streptophyta; Magnoliopsida; Brassicales; Brassicaceae
Exons: 3
Source: RefSeq, a predicted model, not a curated record